This 253-nucleotide ribosomal RNA is filed under the name uncultured bacterium. Its description in RNAcentral is "partial 16S ribosomal RNA". It matches the Rfam family "Bacterial small subunit ribosomal RNA", at positions 524 to 776 of the family's 1533-position model. The record is from RNAcentral.
UACAGAGGUCCCAAGCGUUGUUCGGAUUCAUUGGGCGUAAAGGGUGUGUAGGUGGCGCCGUAAGUCAGACGUGAAAUCCCUCGGCUUAACCGGGGAACUGCGUCUGAUACUGGUUGGCUUGAAUCCGGGAGAGGGAUGUGGAAUUCCAGGUGUAGCGGUGAAAUGCGUAGAUAUCUGGAGGAACACCGGUGGCGAAGGCGGCAUCCUGGACCGGUAUUGACGCUGAGGAGCGAAAGCCAGGGGAGCAAACGGG